AGUGAACGCUGGCGGUAGGCCUAACACAUGCAAGUCGAACGGCAGCACAGUAAGAGCUUGCUCUUACGGGUGGCGAGUGGCGGACGGGUGAGGAAUACAUCGGAAUCUACUUUUUCGUGGGGGAUAACGUAGGGAAACUUACGCUAAUACCGCAUACGCCCUACGGGUGAAAGCAGGGGAUCUUCGGACCUUGCGCGAUUGAAUGAGCCGAUGUCGGAUUAGCUAGUUGGCGGGGUAAAGGCCCACCAAGGCGACGAUCCGUAGCUGGUCUGAGAGGAUGAUCAGCCACACUGGAACUGAGACACGGACCAGACUCCUACGGGAGGCAGCAGUGGGGAAUAUUGGACAAUGGGCGAAAGCCUGAUCCAGCCAUACCGCGUGGGUGAAGAAGGCCUUCGGGUUGUAAAGCCCUUUUGUUGGGAAAGAAAAGAAGCAGGUUAAUACCCCGCUGUUCUGACGGUACCCAAAGAAUAAGCACCGGCUAACUUCGUG
Molecule: ribosomal RNA, 492 nt
Filed under: uncultured bacterium
Lineage: Bacteria
Description: partial 16S ribosomal RNA
Rfam family: Bacterial small subunit ribosomal RNA
Source: RNAcentral